UAGCCGCGCUGAGAGGGCGACCGGCCACACUGGGACUGAGACACGGCCCAGACUCCUACGGGAGGCAGCAGUGGGGAAUAUUGCACAAUGGGCGCCAGUCUGAUGCGGCGCCGCCGCGUGAGGGAUGACGGCCUUCGGGUUGUAAACCUCUUUCAGCAGGGAAGAAGCGAGAGUGACGGUACCUGCGGAAGAAGCGCCGGCUAACUACGUGCCAGCAGCCGCGGUAAUACGUAGGGCGCAAGCGUUGUCCGGAAUUAUUGGGCGUAAAGAGCUCGUAGGCGGCUUGUCACGUCGGAUGUGAAAGCCCGGGGCUUACCCCCGGGUCUGCAUUCGAUACGGGCAGGCUAGAGUUCGGUAGGGGAGAUCGGAUUUCCUGGUGUAGCGGUGAAAUGCGCAGAUAUCAGGAGGAACACCGGUGGCGAAGGCGGAUCUCUGGGCCGAUACUGACGCUGAGGAGCGAAAGCGUGGGGGAGCGAACAGGAUUAGAUACCCUGUAGUCCACGCCGUAAACGGUGGGCACUAGGUGUGGGCGACAUUCCACGUCGUCCGUGCCGCAGCUAACGCAUUAAGUGCCCCGCCUGGGGAGUACGGACCACAA
Molecule: ribosomal RNA, 598 nt
Filed under: Streptomyces sp.
Lineage: Bacteria; Bacillati; Actinomycetota; Actinomycetes; Kitasatosporales; Streptomycetaceae
Description: bacterial SSU rRNA
Rfam family: Bacterial small subunit ribosomal RNA
Source: RNAcentral